GAUGAAGAACGUGGCGAAAUGCGAUAAGUAAUGUGAAUUGCAGAAUUCAGUGAAUCAUCGAAUCUUUGAACGCAUCUUGCGCUCCUUGGUAUUCCUUGGAGCAUGCCUGUUUGAGUAUCAUGAGCAAAUCUCAAAGUCAAUUCCUUUUGUUGAUUCAAUUGGUUUUGCUUUGGACUUGGAGGCCUUGCAGAUUUCACAGUCUGCUCCUCUUAAAUGCAUUAGCUGGAUCUCAGUAAUUAUGCUUGGUUCCACUCGGCGUGAUAAGUAUCACUCGCUGAGGACACUGUUAAAAAGGUGGCCAGGAAAAUACUGAUUGAACCGCUUCUAACGGUCUAUUAAGUUAGACAAUUACCCUUAAGUUUGAUCUCAAAUCAGGUAGGACUACCCGCUGAACUUAAGCAUAUCAAUAAGCGGAGGA
This 418-nucleotide unclassified non-coding RNA is filed under the name soil metagenome. Its description in RNAcentral is "partial contains 5.8S ribosomal RNA, internal transcribed spacer 2, and large subunit ribosomal RNA". The stretch from base 1 to 120 matches the Rfam family "5.8S ribosomal RNA", at positions 35 to 154 of the family's 154-position model. The record is from RNAcentral.